Molecule: small nuclear RNA, 107 nt
Organism: Dipodomys ordii (Ord's kangaroo rat)
Lineage: Eukaryota; Metazoa; Chordata; Mammalia; Rodentia; Heteromyidae
Source: Ensembl
GUGUGAGCCACUGGCAGCACAUAAACUAAAACUGGGACGAUUCAGAGACGAUUCGCAUGGCUCUGCACAGGGGUGACGUGCAAAUUCAUGAAGAGCUCCAGAUUUAA